CAGCAGCCGCGGUAAUACGAGGGGGGCAAGCGUUGUUCGGAAUUAUUGGGCGUAAAGGGCGCGUAGGCGGUUUGGCAAGUUUGGUGUGAAAUCUUCGGGCUCAACUCGAAGUCUGCACCGAAAACUGCCGGGCUUGAGUAUGGGAGAGGUGAGUGGAAUUUCCGGUGUAGCGGUGAAAUGCGUAGAUAUCGGAAGGAACACCUGUGGCGAAAGCGGCUCACUGGACCAUUACUGACGCUGAGGCGCGAAAGCUAGGGGAGCAAACAGGAUUAGAUACCCGUGUAGUCCCUGUCUCUUAUAC
This 301-nucleotide ribosomal RNA is filed under the name uncultured bacterium. RNAcentral's name for it is "partial 16S ribosomal RNA". It matches the Rfam family "Bacterial small subunit ribosomal RNA", at positions 509 to 807 of the family's 1533-position model. The record is from RNAcentral.